This 5965-nucleotide long non-coding RNA is filed under the name Mus musculus (house mouse). RNAcentral's name for it is "long non-coding RNA chrX:155392082-155398047". Lineage: Eukaryota; Metazoa; Chordata; Mammalia; Rodentia; Muridae. The record is from RNAcentral.
AUAUUUCUUUGUAUAUUGGAUAUUGUAUUUUAGGUCUGUUACUUCUCUGAAGAAAUACACAUAAAUGAGAGUGUCUUUUAUUUUUCUUUUAGGCUUUAGUGCCCAGUAUGGUAUGGUAAGCGUCUUUAUGAAUUAUGUUAAAAUUACUAUGAGGACUAGCUCUCAGGUUUCUCAAUCUCUCUGUCUGUGGUUUCUAGAUACUAUUUACCACUAAAAUGGAAGCAGAGUUACUUGGAGAAUGACUGACUGACUCUAUGUCAGAAGCAGGAGAUGUACAAGAUCAACCUGCAACAUUUGUCAUGCCAAAACCCAAGAAAGCUACCAAUGAAGACUUUCAGUAAUGUCAGAAGGAACAAGAUACUAAUCUCAAGAUGAUUGCCCCAAUGGCAAAACAUGGGACUAUUUUAGCAUCAGUUUUAAUAAAAGGAAGGAAGUGAAUAUGCUCUCACUCUCUAAGUGGUUUUUUUUUUUUUUUUUUUUUUUUUUGGACAGGGUUUCUCUGUAUAGCCCUGGUUGUCCUGGAACUCACUUUGUAGACCAGGCUGGCCUCGAACUCAGAAAUCCACCUGCCUCUGCCUUCCGAGUGCUGGGAUUAAAGACGUGCACCACCAUGCCCAGCUCACUCUCUAAGUUCUUAUCAAUGCUUUAGGAACCUACUGAUCACCCGUGGAGAAUGCUACAACAUGAAAGAUGGAAAUACAGGACCUGUUCGAGAAUAGGAUUUGGUGAAAGCAAGAGACAUUCUGGUUAAUUCUACCAGGAAACUGCUAUUUCACUCCCACUUAGUACAAAAGAAGAAAUGCAGGAGCAUGCAUGCUCAGUCAUAAGGAGCAGCAUGAGCAAAACAGAACAAAACUAAAACCCAAACAAAUGCCACUAAGUCUUAUGAUGGUGGGUAAAAAUGAGAGCUCAUUAAUAUAAAUAAACUUUUCACAGUAUGAAAGAGAAUUAUAUUCUUUUUUGUAAGACCUUUGUACAUUAAAACUAUAGGCAUCUAAUCAUAAGCAUAUAUAAAGUAACACACACACACACACAAAACUAAACAAAAAUAAAAUAAAAGCAGUGGCAGUAAGAAUCUAUUCUACUAUUAGUAGUAGUAAUAAUAUUAUACUUAUAUUAUUAAUAAUAAUAAUAUUAUAAUUAUAGUAGUAAUCUAUUCUACUCUUCAAUUUUAACAAUUUAUUUAUGCAUUGGUGUUUUGCCUGCAUGUAUAUCUAUGUGAGAGUGUCAGAUCUUUUUUUUUAAAUGUUUUUUAUUAGGUAUUUUCCUCAUGUACACUUUCAAUGCUAUCCCAAAAGUCCCCCAUACCCUCCCCUCCACUCCACUCCCCUACCCACCCACUCCCACUUUGUGGCCCUGGCGUUCCCCUGUACUGAGGCAUAUAAAGUUUGCAAGACCAAUGGGCCUCUCUUUCCAAUGAUGGCCGAGUAGGCCAUCUUCUGAUACAUAUGCAGCUAGAGACAUGAGCUCUGGGGGUACUGGUUAGUUUAUAUUGUUGUUCCACCUAUAGGGUUGCAGACCCCUUCAGCUACUUGGGUACUUUCUCUAGCUCCUCCAUUGGGGGCCCUGUGAUCCAUCCAAUAGCUGACUGUGAGCAUCCACUUCUAUGUUUGCUAGGCCCUGAUGUAGCCUCACAAGAGAAUGUCAGAUCUUGGAUCACAGGUAGUUGUGAGCUGCCAUGUGGGUGUGGGGAAUUGAAUCCUGGUUCUCAGAAAGAAGGGAUCAGGGCUCUUAACUGCUGGGCCAUCUCUCCAGCCCCCUGUACUCUUCAUUUUUGUAAAGCUUUCUUUAGCAUUUGUUUUGAAUUACACUUAUGUGAUUGUGUGUGACUAUAGGCAUGUGAGUGCAGGUAUCCAAAGAGAUCAGAGGCAUCAGAUUCUCUGAAGCUGGAGUGACAUGCAGUUAUAAGCAUGCUGAAUUGAAUUGAGAUGCUUUCUUCAAGAACAUCUUUCCUAUAUCAUCUCUCCAGUCCCAGAUUUCAUAUUUAAAACAGUGGCAAAAGGAGGGUAUAAUUUCAGAAUGCUGAUAAAUAUAAAUAAUGGGAGUAUAGAACUUCUAGAGUCCCAUUAAUAAAUGUACAUAUGGUCAAAGAUUCUAAUACAGGCCUUACUUUUAAAAUUGGGAGAGCAAUUUGUCAUUAGUGUCCAGUACAAAGCAAGGAACCAGGAAUUUUUUUUUAUAUUCUAGCAGCCUAAGGCUAUUUCUAGAUUCAAGUAAUUUAGCAGUAAGAAUGGUUAUCAGAAUCAAACAUUGCAACGCCUCCCCAUAGUAAUAAGCAGACACUAAGCUCAUCACUUUAGUAUUUUUAAAUCCCAUUUGUGUGCUGCUUUAAUAACAUGUAGCCCACUGUUACCCAAGAGAAAUAUAAUUUGAGCCAUAAAUCUAAUUUAAAGGAUUCUAGUGACACAUUUUGAAAAAUAAAAAGACAAAUAUGGAAUUCAUUUUCACAAUAUACUCUAUCAAACCCAAAAUAUCCAAAGCAUCUUUCAAUAUGAGAUGAAAAUUUAAAAUCAAAAUACCAUUACACCCUCCAUAUAUUAAAUCCUUUAUAUUAGUGUGUAUUUUAAACUUACUAUAGCUCUAAAUUCAGAAUACAUACAUUUCAGAUAUCUGAUAGUCAUAUAUAUUUUUAGGUAAAAUUAUUAUCUCCAGUUAUAGCUAUAAACAAAUAUACUUUAUAUUAUGAAUUGAUAAGUUAUCUACAAAUACAUGUGAAACUAUAGAUUUAUAGAUACUAAUUUUAUUGUUUCUUCUUUUUAUAUUUUAUUUUUGAUUUUUAAAGGCAGGCUGUUCAGCUCAGGCUAACCUCCAAAUUCAUUGUCUAUUUGAGGAAGCCUCCCUUUUACUGGCAAUACAGGUGUGUGUCAUCUGCUAAGUGACAAUUUCAAUGGAAAAAUCUAUUGCUGGCCAAGUUAAAGAAAAUUUAGAAAAUCUCACUUCAUGUUGAAACACAAGGUGAAAAACAGCAGUGAAAUGAACUUCCAGACCAGCAAACACUAUUAUUAUGAAUGUAUAUUUGCAGCUUUAGUGGCUUUUUUUCUUAUGAGUUUAGUUGUUGUAGUGACAAUCAUGGUAAAACUUCUUGUUAAUUAUGUACUAUUAUCCAUUACAGUGUUAACUCAGUUUUAUAUUAAGCACCCGAUAAGCCUGCCAAAGUGAAACUGUAUAUUUUUGUCUAUUAUAUUCUACUUACUUAAGACAGAUUGCAUUCUAAAUUCUGUUUUAUUUUUAUCACCAAUAUAGAUAGAUUUAUUGCUAUUCUUAGGACAAGUAUAUUUUCAGUUUUUAAGCUUUACUGUCAUUGUUCCUUAUUGUAGAUUCACUGAGUUAAUAAAUACUGAUUUCUUACUGAAAAAAUUGAUGCAGUAUAUUUAGACCAUGGGUUUUCAUCUUCCAACUUUUCCCCUUUUAACUCCCCACCCAUCCAACUCCAUGUCCUAUUUUCUACUUCUCUUUUGAAAGCAAGCAAACAGGCAAACAAUAACAAAACAAACAAACAAACAAACAAACAAGAAGAAACACAAGAAAAAAAAGUCACCCCCACAAAAACACAAAGUUAGGAAAUCAUAAUACAAAAGUAAAAGACUAGUAAGACCAAAAACAAAACAAAACAAAACAAAACACCAAAACAAAAAACCAAAAAAAAAAAAAUCCCAAAUAAAGCUAUAUGAGGCAAAAUGUCUACAAAAAUACUAUGGAGUUUGUUUUGUGUUUGCCAUCUACUGCUGCACAUAGGACCUAACCUUAAGUGUGGUUAAUAUGGACAAUAAUACUCAAUUGGAUAAAAUGUACAAGCAAGUUUGCGUAUAAAUAUAGAUACAUAGUUUAAAUAAUUUUUUUUUAACCUGGGCUGAUAAUGCUCCUGCAAAGAGCCAAACAUCACCUAAUAAAAUCCAUAGUGUCAGGCACGAGAAGCCCUCUUUAGUUGUUGGAUAUAGGGUUAUCCAAUAGAUGCUCUGAACCUUACAGGCUGUCGAUAUUGCCCUUGGUUGCUCCUGAGAAAUGGAACUGUAGUUUCUAUCGCUAAAGACACCAUGGAAUUUAAAAUUAGGGCUCCAUGGCACCUGAGCUGGAAGUAACCUGAAUGCCCCCUUCCUAAGCACUAGCUCUUGCCAUAAUAGAAGGUACCAUGCAAAGUUCCAAAGGAAGGAAGCAACCAAGAGUCCUACCUAGCUAUAAUGACCAUAAAGCACAAAAGUGACCAACAUGGCAUAAUAACUCUAAAUGUGCAGUAGGGGGACACAUACCCCUGUGGUAAACAACAGCUAAAUUGGACUUAAGGCCUGUAUAACAAGAGAAAAAACAUUCUUGGAACUGGAAACCUAGCCAACUACCCAGUGCUGGUGAAGUUAUGGGAUUUGGAGGAGAACCUACAACUAACACUUUACUAAAUCAGCAUAAUCCUUAACCACUCUAAAUAUGGGCCGUUAUUCUGCAGAUAAGUACAUUUCUCAAUCUUCACCAAGGAAAUUUCUCUUUGAAAGAGACAAGAGACUUGCAGAAAACCACAACCAAUCCAACUGCAGAGUUAGUGGAGUUAUGACUUGUUGAAAUAAUUUUUUAGAUAUUUUAUGGAAUUCUUAUAUCUACCAGCCUUCAAACCCUUAUUACACCCUAAUCCCAUUCAAAUUCCCAACACUAGGUAGGAAAGAAAAAAGUUUAGUGAGGGAAAGUGGGCAUAGAUCUCUUUAGAGGACUUCCUGCUGAUUAGAGGCGUUGGGUUUCUUGGAGCAAGUCCAACCUUUGUUGUCAGAAUAUUCCAUUUCUUCUUGUUGUAUCUUUGCUAACAACUACUUGACAAACUGCAACAACUGGCAACAGUAGCAGGGGCAGUAGUCACUACCAUAGGCCCUCUUGGGGCUCUCCCAUUCAUAUUCUUUCCAGAGUCCCCAGAAUUAAACUGUCUGCAACUGACAAAAAUCAUGCCCUUGCUAGUGCAUGAAGCAAAUUGUAAUCACCUGCCGAGAAGCAGACUCUUAUCUCACACUUUGGAGUAAAACCAAAACAUAUUCAUGUAACAUAACUGGAUUUUUCAAGAAACCAAAAAUUUUAGUACAAUGACCCAAUGGAUAUAAUUGAAAAAAAAAACCCCAAAAAACAAAAACAACAACAACAAAAAAACAAAAAACAAACCAAAAAAACCAAAAAACCCAAUAAAACCAACUCCCAUGUGCAAGACUCAGGGAACAUUGCCACAGAGGGGUGGAAAGAUUAUAAAAGCUACAGGAUCAGGGACUUUGCUAUGAGACUGUCUCCUAGCAGUGUCAGAAGUUACAUCCAUAGAGUCUUAUUAACAUGAUCUGAACAGGAACAACAAUAAUAGACAUCUCAGAAUAUGUGGGAGAAAGCCAUGAGGCCCCAAGCCUAAACAAAUAACUACAGGCAAUUAAGAAAUGCUGAGAGUGGGAGAAAGAGCUUUCCCUAUGGAACAGCACACCAAUACCAAAAUGGUUAUCCAAUACCAAAUAAUCAGCCCUAAAACCAUAUACAUAAAAUAACAUUAUGUAGACUGAGAAAGUUACAUUUAGGAAUAUAUUAAGAGUAAUAUAUACAUAUGUAUGCAUUUAUGUAACAACAGUCAAUGAAACAAGAAGCCAGGAAUUACAAAGAGAAUAAGGAGGGGCAUAUGAGUUGUUUUGGAGAGAGAAAAGAGAAGUGGGAAAUGAUGCAAUUAUAAUCUCAAAAACAAGAAAACAAAAAGGGAAAGAAAAGGAUAUUUAGUAAGUCCACCAUGCCUCAGUUUAUGAAAGUACUAAUCUGUAAAACAGAGGUGAUAUUAAUGAAUAACUCUGUCUUUUUUCUAACUUCUAUCCAAUCAAUAAGCAUGGUUAUGUCUAACAUGCAAAGAAACACUUGAGGAAUAUGAUAAAAACUUUGUGACCUUGUUUAAGCAAAUUGUUUUUAUAUGGGAAGCCUAAUGAGCUUCUGUAUCUAAUCUCAUCUUCAAUAAAAGCACAACAUCACU